This 460-nucleotide ribosomal RNA is filed under the name uncultured bacterium. RNAcentral describes it as "partial 16S ribosomal RNA". It matches the Rfam family "Bacterial small subunit ribosomal RNA", at positions 338 to 795 of the family's 1533-position model. The record is from RNAcentral.
CCUACGGGUGGCAGCAGUGAGGAAUAUUGGUCAAUGGCCGGAAGGCUGAACCAGCCAAGCCGCGUGAAGGACGAAGGUGCCAAGCAUUGUAAACUUCUUUUGUCAAGGGACAAAAUCAGGCUCGAGAGCCUGACCGAGGGUACUUGAAGAAUAAGCAUCGGCUAACUCCGUGCCAGCAGCCGCGGUAAUACGGAGGAUGCGAGCGUUAUCCGGAUUUAUUGGGUUUAAAGGGUGCGUAGGGGGGCUGUUAAGUCAGUGGGUAAAGGCAGGGGCUCAACCCCCGAAUGGCAAUUGAAACUGGCUGUCUUGAGAUGUGGAGAGGUAGGCGGAAUGCGCGGUGUAGCGGUGAAAUGCUUAGAUAUUGCGAAGAACUCCGAUUGCGAAGGCAGCAUACCGGCGGCGCUCUGACGCUGAGGCACGAAAGCGUGGGUAUCGAACAGGAUUAGAUACCCGAGUAGUC